This 446-nucleotide ribosomal RNA is filed under the name uncultured prokaryote. RNAcentral describes it as "bacterial SSU rRNA". It matches the Rfam family "Bacterial small subunit ribosomal RNA", at positions 355 to 796 of the family's 1533-position model. The record is from RNAcentral.
UCGAGAAUCUUCCGCAAUGGGCGAAAGCCUGACGGAGCGACACCGCGUGCAGGAUGAAGGCCUUCGGGUUGUAAACUGCUGUCACGCCAUAGGAAAGCCCUGUCGUUAAUAGCGCCAGGGUUGACCAAAGCGAAAGGAAGCACCGGCUAACUCCGUGCCAGCAGCCGCGGUAAGACGGAGGGUGCGAACGUUGUUCGGAAUCACUGGGCAUAAAGCGCACGUAGGCGGUUCAGUCAGUCUGAUGUGAAAGCCCCCGGCUCAACCGGGGAACUGCAUUGGAUACUGCUGGACUCGAGGAUGGUUGGGGUGAGUGGAACUCCUGGUGGAGCGGUGAAAUGCGUAGAUAUCAGGAGGAACACCGGUGGCGAAAGCGGCUCACUGGACCAUUUCUGACGCUGAGGUGCGAAAGCUAGGGUAGCGAACGGGAUUAGAUACCCCCGUAGUCC